This 2636-nucleotide ribosomal RNA is filed under the name Candida frijolesensis. Its description in RNAcentral is "small subunit ribosomal RNA". The stretch from base 1625 to 2111 matches the Rfam family "Bacterial small subunit ribosomal RNA", at positions 875 to 1387 of the family's 1533-position model. The record is from RNAcentral. Lineage: Eukaryota; Fungi; Ascomycota; Pichiomycetes; Serinales; Debaryomycetaceae.
CACUUUGCUUUAACUACAUAAAUUUGAUGUAGGUUUAGAUAAAACGCUAAAUAGAGACAUAACACAUGCAAGUUUAUAUAUAAUAUUAUUUAUAUUUAUAAUAUAAUAUAUAUAAAUUAAUAUAUAUUAUUAUUAAGUAGAUAAUAUAAUAAUAUUAUUCAUUUAUUAAUAUAAAAAUAUUAAAUUAUUAUAUAAAUAUAAUAUAUAAGCGUUUAGGUGAGUAUAAUAAGGUCAAAACCUUAAGAGAUGUAGGUAUUAGUAUGAAUAGACUAGCCAAAGACCUCUACUCCAUGGUGGAAGCCAUAAGGAGCACAUAGAUAUUAAAUCUACUACUAUUAGUAGCAGCAGUGGGGAAUUAUUGACAAUGAUCUAACGAUUGAUCAUGUUAUCUAUUAAAGAUUUUGAUAAUAUUAAAUAUAAUAUAUAAAUAUAUUAUAAAUAUUAUAUAUAUAAUAUAAUAAAUUAUAAUUAUAAUCUACUAUAAAUAUAUAAUUUAUAUAUAUAUAAAAUAUAUAAAAUAAAUAUAUAUUAAUAAAAAUCAAAUAUAUCUUAAUAUAUUAAUUAAUAAUGAUAAUUAAUAAUAUUUAGUCCUUACUAAGAUGUGUGCCAGCAGUAGCGGUCAUACACACAGGGCAAGCGUUUAUCAUCCUUGGUUUAAAGGAUCCGUAGGCUUAAUAACGAUUAUCAUUAUAAUCUUUUUAAUGAAUUAUAAUUAUUUAUUUCUAUUAUUAUUAAUAGAAAUAUAAUCUUAUUAUAUAAUUAUUUAUUAUAAAUAAUUUUAUAUUAAUAAAUAUUAAUAUAAGUAUUAAUUAUAUAUUAAUAUAAUUAAUAAAUAUAAUAAGAAUAAUCAUAGAAUCUUAUAAAUUUAAUAUGUAAAUUAUAUAAAGAGUUAAUAUGCUAUGACAUAUAAUAGACAGCAAAGAAGUUAAAUAAUAAGAUUGACGCUGAGGGAUGAAAGCUGUAAGAGUGACAUGGAUUCGGUACCCAUUUAACUGCAGCCGUAAACUAUGUAUAUCACGUAAAUCAUUUUCUCUUUCAUUACUACCCCUAAUACCAGUAUAUAUAUAUUAUAGAUAAUCUUAUUUAUUAUAACAUUAAUUAUAUUUAUUUAUAUUUAACAUAUAUUAUUAUAAUAAUUUUAUUAUAAUUUUAAUAUAGAUAAAUAUAUAUAAUAAAUAUAGAUUAAUAUAUGAAAAUAUUAGGCUAUUAUAUAAUAUAAUACUAGUUUAUUAAUAUUAAAAUAUAUCAAUAUAUAGAUUAUAAAUUAGAUUAUAUUUAUAUAUAAAUUUAUAUAUAAAUAUAUAUAUGAUAUAUAUCGUAUUUUAAUGGAGAUAAAUAAUAUAUAAUAGAUAAAUAUAUUAGAAAAUAAUUUAAGAUAAUAUUAUCCAAUAUAAUAAUUAUAAUCUAAAUAAUAUAUGAAGAUAAUAGUAUAAUUUCAUACUAGUUAUAAAUUAGAUGAAUAAUUUAAUAUGUUAAAUUAAUAAUAUAUAAUAUGUAAAUAUAUAUCUUUAUAAUAUUUAAUUAUAAAAAAGAUAGAAAUUAGAUAGUAAUAUAAAUAGAAGAAAGAAUAUAGGUAAUCUGUAAGAGAGAUUUGAGCAAAUUAACAUUAAGAAUAUACCACCAGACUAGUACGUUCGCAAGAAUGAAAUGUAAUACAUUAGACGGUUAUAUACCGAUACAGUGGAUCAUGCUGUUUAAUUGGACGAUACCCCAUAAAUCUUACCAUUUCUUGAAUAUAAUAUAUUUAUAUAUUAUACAGGCGUUACAUUGUUGUCGUCAGUUCAUGCCAUCAUGGUUUAUUAUUAAGUUAUGUAAUGAACGAAAUCCUUGUUUAGAAUUUUAAAUUAAAAUUUUAUAAAAUAGUAUAAUAGAGAUAUUAUAGUAAGUAAAGGUUGAAGACUAAUCCGCAUGACCCUUAUGAAAUGGGCUACAGGUGUGAUACGAAUUAACUAUUAAUUAUAUAUCUUAUAAAUAAAGAUUAAAAUAAAUUAGUUAAAUUAAGGAAUUAUAUCUUUAAAUGAAUUAAUACCUGAAACUCGGUAUUAUAAAAGAGGAACUGUCAGUAAUCAUAUUUUAGUAUAAUAUGGUGAAUUUGUCAUAUAUUUCGCACUAAUCACUCAUCAAUAGCACAGAUGGAUUUUAUAAAUAUUUUUAUCUUUAUAUCUUCUUUAUAUUUAGUAUAUAUUUUAAUAUUUAUUAUAUUAAUAUAAUUAUAAAUAUAUCUCUAUAUAUAUUUUAAUAUAUUUUAUAAAUAUAAACGUUAUAUUAUAAAUAAAUAUUAUUUAUUAUAUUUUAAUAAAUUUUAUAUUUAAGACAAUAUAGAUAUUAUAUAAAUGAAUUAUAGUAUUUAUAUAUAUAUAAAUAUAAUAUAUUAUAUAAUUAGAUAAUGAAGACACUUAUUAAUUAUAAUAAAUAAUUAUUUUAUAAUAAAAUAUUAAUUUAUAUAUUAUGAUUAUAAUAUGUUAAUAUAUAUUAUAAUAAGUUGAAUAUAAAUAUAUUAUAUAAAACGAAAAUAUAAAAGAUAGAAACUAAAGAUAGUAUAAAAAUAUUUAUUAGAAAUGAAAAAUAUGCUAUAAGUUGAAAUAUAGUUCGGGUAAGGGAACUUGCUCGGGGUUUAUAAUAAUAUUAACUAUUCA